UGGGGAAUUUUGGACAAUGGGGGCAACCCUGAUCCAGCCAUGCCGCGUGAGUGAAGAAGGCCUUCGGGUUGUAAAGCUCUUUCGGCCGGGAAGAAAUCGCUCAAGCUAAUACCUUGGGUGGAUGACGGUACCGGAAGAAGAAGCACCGGCUAACUACGUGCCAGCAGCCGCGGUAAUACGUAGGGUGCGAGCGUUAAUCGGAAUUACUGGGCGUAAAGCGUGCGCAGGCGGUUUCGUAAGACAGAUGUGAAAUCCCCGGGCUUAACCUGGGAACUGCACUUGUGACUGUACGGCUGGAGUACGGCAGAGGGGGAUGGAAUUCCGCGUGUAGCAGUGAAAUGCGUAGAUAUGCGGAGGAACACCGAUGGCGAAGGCAGUCCCCUGGGCCUGUACUGACGCUCAUGCACGAAAGCGUGGGAGCAAACAGGAUUAGAGACCCGGGUAG
RNAcentral lists this ribosomal RNA (445 nucleotides) under uncultured bacterium. RNAcentral's name for it is "bacterial SSU rRNA". It matches the Rfam family "Bacterial small subunit ribosomal RNA", at positions 355 to 793 of the family's 1533-position model. The record is from RNAcentral.